Heliocybe sulcata is the source of this 71-nucleotide non-coding RNA. NCBI's taxonomy places the organism in Eukaryota, Fungi, Basidiomycota, Agaricomycetes, Gloeophyllales, Gloeophyllaceae. The record is from the annotation of a GenBank genome assembly.
GCUUGAGUGGUGUAGUGGUAACAUGGAGUCUUCCCAUGGCUCCGCCUCGGGUUCGAUUCCCGGCUCAAGCA